This 76-nucleotide small RNA is filed under the name Pedobacter alluvionis. Its description in RNAcentral is "Flavo-1 RNA". Lineage: Bacteria; Pseudomonadati; Bacteroidota; Sphingobacteriia; Sphingobacteriales; Sphingobacteriaceae. The record is from RNAcentral.
AAAUAAACCUGAUAGUAGCGUAAAACCCGAAGGUGAGGCACGAACCGAGGCUUUGAAGCGGAUAGCAGGACUUUAA